AUUGAACGCUGGCGGCAUGCCUAACACAUGCAAGUCGAACGGCGAGCGCGGGUAGCAAUACCUGGCGGCGAGUGGCGGACGGGUGAGGAAUACAUCGGGAAUCUACCCAGUCGUGGGGGAUAACGCAUCGAAAGGUGCGCUAAUACCGCAUACGACCGAGAGGUGAAAGCGGAGGACCGAAAGGCUUCGCGCGAAUGGAUGAGCCGAUGUCGGAUUAGCAGUUGGCGGGGUAAGAGCCCACCAAGGCGACGAUCCGUAGCUGGUCUGAGAGGAUGAUCAGCCACACUGGGACUGAGACACGGCCCAGACUCCUACGGGAGGCAGCAGUGGGAAUAUUGGACAAUGGGCGCAAGCCUGAUCCAGCAAUGCGCGUGUGUGAA
RNAcentral lists this ribosomal RNA (380 nucleotides) under uncultured bacterium. RNAcentral's name for it is "bacterial SSU rRNA". It matches the Rfam family "Bacterial small subunit ribosomal RNA", at positions 29 to 409 of the family's 1533-position model. The record is from RNAcentral.